CAAGACAUUGAAUCAAACUCUUCCAAUCAGACAAGCAUGAUUGCAAUUGAGCUCAAUGACCUGUUCAAACACAGCAGCAUAAAUGCGACAUUUGCCAGCUGCAGAUUACAGUCAUUCAGCAUGGUCGAUGGUGACAGAAGCACAGUGACGGCAAUGUGUUCCUUCAAAAACGAUUCUACCAUUC
This is a non-coding RNA of Chiloscyllium plagiosum (whitespotted bambooshark), 184 nucleotides long. The record is from RefSeq and is a predicted model, not a curated record. Lineage: Eukaryota; Metazoa; Chordata; Chondrichthyes; Orectolobiformes; Hemiscylliidae.